AGCCCAAACCAUCCAUGUUACGGCAUGGGUGGGGUUGUAGGACUACGCCGUUGCAUGAAGACAUCAGAGAAGAACUUUCUGGAAAGAAAGACCAUAGAGCAUGACAGUUGCGUAUUCGAAUGUUGUCUAAGCAUAGUAGUAUCCUGAGUAGCGCGGAGCACGAGGAAUUCUGCGUGAAUCUGCCGGGACCAUCCGGUAAGGCUAAAUACUCCCGAGAGACCGAUAGCGAACCAGUACCGUGAGGGAAAGGUGAAAAGCACUUCGAACAGAAGAGUGAAAUAGUUCCUGAAACCGUGCGCCUACAAGCGGUCGGAGCUCGUUAAUGAGUGACGGCGUGCCUUUUGCAUAAUGAACCUACGAGUUGCCUUUGCCGGCAAGGUUAAGUGUGACGACACACGUAUCCGAAGCGAAAGCGAGUCUGAACAGGGCGUAUAGUCGGCAGUGGCAGACGCGAAACCAAGUGAUCUACCCUUGGCCAGGUUGAAGGCUGGGUAACACCAGCUGGAGGACCGCACCAAUAAGCGUUGAAAAGCUUCUGGAUGAGCUGAGGGUAGGGGUGAAAGGCUAAUCAAACUUGGAGAUAGCUCGUACUCCCCGAAAUGCAUUUAGGUGCAGCCUUGCGGGUUACUGAUGUGAGGUAGAGCGACUGAUAAGAUGCGAGGGCUUCACCGCCUAUCAAGUCUUGACAAACUCCGAAUGCGCAUCAGUUCUACCGCAGGAGUGAGGGCAUGGGUGCUAAGGUCCGUGCCCGAGAGGAGAAGAAUCCGGACCACCUGCUAAGGUCCCGAAAUGACAGCUAAGUUAAACUAACGAAGUCUGACUGCUAAGACAGCUAGGAUGUUGGCUUGGAAGCAGCCAUUCAUUUAAAGAGUGCGUAACAGCUCACUAGUCGAGGAGUCGGGCGUGGAUAAUAAUCGGGUAUUAAGUUGUCUACCGAAGCAGUGGGAUCAUUAAUAUGAUCGGUAGGGGAGCAUUCCAGUCAGCGUCGAAGGCGUACCGUGAGGUAUUCUGGAGCGUCUGGAAAAGCAAAUGUAGGUAUAAGUAACGAUAAAGGGGGCGGGAAACCCCCUCGCCGAAAGACUAAGGUUUCCUGAUCAACGCUAAUCGGAUCAGGGUCAGUCGGGUCCUAAGGCUCAGCCGAACGGCGAUGCCGAUGGCAGAAACGGUUAAUAUUCCGUUACUACCUUCAGGAGUGACGUGGAGACGCAGUAGUGACAGUGCCGCCAUCUGACGGAAUAGAUGGUUGAAGGGUGUAGGAGUCGAUCAUGGCAGGCAAAUCCACCAUGAGAUCCGAACCUGACAGUAUGCCGCGUCCUUCGGGACAAGGCAAUAGUGCGCGUAAGCAUGCUGCCGAGAAAAUCCGCUAAACUUAAUCCUGCAGGUACCCGUACCGCAAACGGACACACGUAGUCGGGAUGAAUAUUCUAAGGCGCUUGAGUGAUUCACGGUUAAGGAACUAGGCAAACUGACCCUGUAACUUCGGGAUAAAGGGUCCCUACCCUUUUAUGGGAGGGCGCAGAGAAUCGGUCCAGGCAACUGUUUAACAAAAACACAGGGCUGUGCCAAAUCGAAAGAUCCAGUAUACAGCCUGACACCUGCCCGGUGCUGGAAGGUUAAGAGGAGAUGUCAUCGAUAAGAGAAGCGUUGAAUUGAAGCCCCAGUAAACGGCGGCCGUAACUAUAACGGUCCUAAGGUAGCGAAAUUCCUUGUCGGGUAAGUUCCGACCUGCACGAAUGGUGUAAUGAUCUGGACGCUGUCUCAACCGUGAGCUCAGUGAAAUUGUAGUAUCGGUGAAGAUGCCGAUUACCCGCGAUGGGACGAAAAGACCCCGUGAACCUUUACUAUAGCUUAUCAUUGAAUCUGGGCACGUGAUGUGUAGGAUAGGUCGGAGGCUUUGAAGCAGGUACGCCAGUAUUUGUGGAGCCGCUGUUGAAAUACGACCCUUUAUUUGUUUGGAUUCUAACCCGUGGAACGGGGACAUUGAUUGGUGGGUAGUUUGACUGGGGUGGUCGCCUCCAAAAGCGUAACGGAGGCUUCUAAAGGUGCCCUCCGGCCGAUUGGUAACCGGCCUUAGAGUGUAAUGGCAUAAGGGCGCUUGACUGGGAGACU
Molecule: ribosomal RNA, 2109 nt
Filed under: gut metagenome
Description: bacterial LSU rRNA
Rfam family: Bacterial large subunit ribosomal RNA
Source: RNAcentral